This 449-nucleotide ribosomal RNA is filed under the name uncultured bacterium. RNAcentral's name for it is "partial 16S ribosomal RNA". It matches the Rfam family "Bacterial small subunit ribosomal RNA", at positions 29 to 523 of the family's 1533-position model. The record is from RNAcentral.
AGCGAACGCUGGCGGCAGGCCUAACACAUGCAAGUCGAACGAACUCUUCGGAGUUAGUGGCGGACGGGUGAGUAACACGUGGGAACGUGCCUUUAGGUUCGGAAUAACUCAGGGAAACUUGUGCUAAUACCGAAUGUGCCCUUCGGGGGAAAGAUUUAUCGCCUUUAGAGCGGCCCGCGUCUGAUUAACUAGUUGGUGAGGUAAAGGCUCACCAAGGCGACGAUCAGUAGCUGGUCUGAGAGGAUGAUCAGCCACAUUGGGACUGAGACACGGCCCAAACUCCUACGGGAGGCAGCAGUGGGGAAUCUUGCGCAAUGGGCGAAAGCCUGACGCAGCCAUGCCGCGUGAAUGAUGAAGGUCUUAGGAUUGUGAAAUUCUUUCACCGGGGACGAUAAUGACGGUACCCGGAGAAGAAGCCCCGGCUAACUUCGUGCCAGCAGCCGCGGUAA